UAAAUUUGAAUAUGCUUACCGUAGACAGUAGGUGCUUUCGGGCUUAAUUUCCUACCGAGGUGUGUGAUAGAAUUUCAGCUUUGCUGAUUCGUCAAGCCUUCGUCUUCUGCGGAGGCUUUUCUUAUUGCAUG
This is a regulatory RNA element of Saccharibacillus sacchari DSM 19268, 131 nucleotides long. It matches the Rfam family "Ribosomal protein L10 leader". Rfam says of the family: This family is a putative r-protein leader autoregulatory structure found in B. subtilis and other low-GC Gram-positive bacteria. It is located in the 5' untranslated regions of mRNAs encoding ribosomal proteins L10 and L12 (rplJ-rplL). The record is from Rfam. NCBI's taxonomy places the organism in Bacteria, Bacillati, Bacillota, Bacilli, Caryophanales, Paenibacillaceae.